UCGAGAAUCUUCCGCAAUGGACGCAAGUCUGACGGAGCGACGCCGCGUGAUGGAUGAAGUCCUUCGGGACGUAAACAUCUUUUAUGAGGGAUGACUAUUCGACAGUACCUCAUGAAUAAGGGGCUCCUAACUCUGUGCCAGCAGGAGCGGUAAUACAGAGGCCCCAAGCAUUACCCGGAAUCACUGGGCGUAAAGGGUGCGUAGGUGGCGCUAUUAGUCCUCUUUUAAAUCUUCCGAGCUCAACUCGGAAAAUCGAGGGGAAACGGUAGCGCUCGAGGAUGUACGAGGUAUGUGGAACUCUAGGUGUAGGGGUGAAAUCCGUUGAUAUCUAGGGGAACACCAAAUGCGAAGGCAGCAUACUGGGACAUUCCUGACACUGAGGCACGAAAGCGUGGGUAGCGAAAAGGAUUAGAUACCCCCGUAGUCC
This 427-nucleotide ribosomal RNA is filed under the name uncultured bacterium. RNAcentral's name for it is "bacterial SSU rRNA". It matches the Rfam family "Bacterial small subunit ribosomal RNA", at positions 355 to 796 of the family's 1533-position model. The record is from RNAcentral.